RNAcentral lists this transfer RNA (87 nucleotides) under Bacillus anthracis (anthrax bacterium). RNAcentral describes it as "tRNA-Leu". It matches the Rfam family "tRNA". Rfam says of the family: Transfer RNA (tRNA) molecules are approximately 80 nucleotides in length. Their secondary structure includes four short double-helical elements and three loops (D, anti-codon, and T loops). Further hydrogen bonds mediate the characteristic L-shaped molecular structure. tRNAs have two regions of fundamental functional importance: the anti-codon, which is responsible for specific mRNA codon recognition, and the 3' end, to which the tRNAs corresponding amino acid is attached (by aminoacyl-tRNA synthetases). tRNAs cope with the degeneracy of the genetic code in two manners: having more than one tRNA (with a specific anti-codon) for a particular amino acid; and 'wobble' base-pairing, i.e. permitting non-standard base-pairing at the 3rd anti-codon position. Lineage: Bacteria; Bacillati; Bacillota; Bacilli; Caryophanales; Bacillaceae. The record is from RNAcentral. RNAcentral also lists the same sequence under 5 other names.
GCGGGUAUGGUGGAACUGGUAGACACGAUUGCCUUAGGAGCAGUUGCCAUGCGUGGCGUGUAGGUUCGACUCCUACUAUCCGUAUCA